AUGCUUACCUGGUAAGGGAAAUGCUAUCAUCAUGAAGGUGACCUUCCUAAAACUGAGGUUUAUCCUUUGUCUUUUGGAUAUGCUGACAUUGCAGUUUUUCCAGGUGUAGGCAACAGACUGCAUGGUUUGUGGUGGGGAUUACUACAUUUAUACUUCCCUG
Molecule: small nuclear RNA, 160 nt
Organism: Cavia aperea (Brazilian guinea pig)
Lineage: Eukaryota; Metazoa; Chordata; Mammalia; Rodentia; Caviidae
Gene: U1
Rfam family: U1 spliceosomal RNA
About the family: U1 is a small nuclear RNA (snRNA) component of the spliceosome (involved in pre-mRNA splicing). Its 5' end forms complementary base pairs with the 5' splice junction, thus defining the 5' donor site of an intron.
Source: Ensembl